GUUUUUCACAGACAAUGUAUGCGCAUACAAUGAAAAGGGUAUCAAAAUUGACAAAAUCAGGGAAAAGGGUAUACUUUUACAACAGCUAAUUUACUUGUUUAGAGUGGGAAAACCUGACAAAAUACUUGUUUGGGUAUUCUGAGAUGAAGUCUAAUUACUUGUUUAGGGUCCAUUUUGAAAGUUCAUUUACAAGCAUGGUGUCCAACUUGUAAUGACAGAGCCCCCCCCCCCCCUGUAACAGUCGGCACUCCAUAGUUUUGGGGCGCUAGCGCUUCAUAAAAACAAACCAAGCAUGCACAUAAAUGUUCGAUGAUUUACGAACAAUGCUCGCCAAGGAAGCCAUCAAACCUUGAGCUUUUCAUCAGUUUAACGAUAUGGGAACAGUAUAAGGCUGUAACUGUAACAAGAUGUGCAUCAAGUUGAAAGUAAAUCGGUCUGUCUUUGAUGUCAGCACUCAGCAGGCACAGUGUUCUUACGGCUUUUGACAAGAAUAAACGUCUACAAGAAGCAUAGACUAUACAAGCCA
RNAcentral lists this long non-coding RNA (526 nucleotides) under Strongylocentrotus purpuratus (purple sea urchin). RNAcentral's name for it is "uncharacterized LOC115930038". Lineage: Eukaryota; Metazoa; Echinodermata; Echinoidea; Camarodonta; Strongylocentrotidae. The record is from RNAcentral.